GGAGUUGGUAGCUCAGCGGUAGAGGGCAUGCUUUGUAUCUAUGAUGUCCUGGGUUCAAUCCCCAGGUCGCCG
This 72-nucleotide transfer RNA is filed under the name Dallia pectoralis (Alaska blackfish). RNAcentral describes it as "tRNA-Thr". Lineage: Eukaryota; Metazoa; Chordata; Actinopteri; Esociformes; Umbridae. The record is from RNAcentral.